RNAcentral lists this transfer RNA (76 nucleotides) under Erysipelotrichaceae bacterium. RNAcentral describes it as "tRNA-Asp". It matches the Rfam family "tRNA". Rfam says of the family: Transfer RNA (tRNA) molecules are approximately 80 nucleotides in length. Their secondary structure includes four short double-helical elements and three loops (D, anti-codon, and T loops). The record is from RNAcentral. Lineage: Bacteria; Bacillati; Bacillota; Erysipelotrichia; Erysipelotrichales; Erysipelotrichaceae.
GGUCCCGUGGUGUAGCGGUUAACAUGCCUCCCUGUCACGGAGGAGACCGCGGGUUCGAUUCCCGUCGGGACCGCCA